UCGAACGCUGAACCGGUUUCGGCCGGGGAUGAGUGGCGAACGGGUGAGUAACACGUGGGUAAUCUGCCCUGUACUCUGGGAUAAGCCUGGGAAACUGGGUCUAAUACCGGAUACGACCUUCGGAGGCAUCUGGGGUGGUGGAAAGUUCCGGCGGUAUGGGAUGAACCCGCGGCCUAUCAGCUUGUUGGUGGGGUAAUGGCCUACCAAGGCGACGACGGGUAGCCGGCCUGAGAGGGUGACCGGCCACACUGGGACUGAGACACGGCCCAGACUCCUACGGGAGGCAGCAGUGGGGAAUAUUGCACAAUGGGCGCAAGCCUGAUGCAGCGACGCCGCGUGAGGGAUGACGGCCUUCGGGUUGUAAACCUCUUUCGCCAGGGACGAAGCGCAAGUGACGGUACCUGGAUAAGAAGCACCGGCUAACUACGUGCCAGCAGCCGCGGUAAUACGUAGGGUGCGAGCGUUGUCCGGAAUUAUUGGGCGUAAAGAGCUCGUAGGCGGUUUGUCGCGUCGGCUGUGAAAUCUGGAGGCUUAACCUUCAGCGUGCAGUCGAUACGGGCAGACUUGAGUUCGGCAGGGGAGACUGGAAUUCCUGGUGUAGCGGUGAAAUGCGC
This 614-nucleotide ribosomal RNA is filed under the name Amycolatopsis sp. RM543. RNAcentral describes it as "bacterial SSU rRNA". It matches the Rfam family "Bacterial small subunit ribosomal RNA", at positions 62 to 691 of the family's 1533-position model. The record is from RNAcentral. Lineage: Bacteria; Bacillati; Actinomycetota; Actinomycetes; Pseudonocardiales; Pseudonocardiaceae.